RNAcentral lists this transfer RNA (72 nucleotides) under Camelus bactrianus (Bactrian camel). It matches the Rfam family "tRNA". Rfam says of the family: Transfer RNA (tRNA) molecules are approximately 80 nucleotides in length. Their secondary structure includes four short double-helical elements and three loops (D, anti-codon, and T loops). RNAcentral also lists the same sequence under 2 other names. Lineage: Eukaryota; Metazoa; Chordata; Mammalia; Artiodactyla; Camelidae. The record is from Rfam by way of RNAcentral.
GAGGGUAUAGCUCAUUGGUAGAGCACAUGCUUAGCAUGCAUCAGGUCCUGAGUUCAAUCCCCAGUAUCUCUG